UUUAAAGUCUGACCUGCCCAAUGAGAGUUUAAAUGGCCGCGGUACUUUGACCGUGCAAAGGUAGCAUAAUCAUUAGUUUUUUAAUUGGAAGCUGGAAUGAACGGUUGGACGAGGGAAUAACUGUCUCAAUUUGAUUUAAUUAGAAUUUUAUUUUUAAGUAAAAAAGCUUAAAUGAUUUUAAAAGACGAGAAGACCCUAUAGAGUUUUAUAUGAGUAUUUAAGUUGGUAAUUAAGAAUUAAUAUUUUUAUUUAAAUAUGAAUAUUUUGUUGGGGUGACAGAAAAAUUUAAUUAACUUUUUUUAUAUUAAAUCAUUAAUUUAUGAUUAGAUGAUCCGUUUUAGAACGAUUAUAAGAUUAAAUUACCUUAGGGAUAACAGCGUAAUUUUUUUUGAGAGUUCUAAUCGAAAAAAGAGUUUGCGACCUCGAUGUUGGAUUAAAAUUAAUUUUUGGUGUAGGAGCUAAAAUAUUAGGUCUGUUCGACCUUUGAAAUUUUACAUGAUCUGAGUUUAAACCGGCGUGAGCCAGGUUGGUUUCUAUCUUUAAAAAUAUAGAAUAUUUUAGUACGAAAGGACCAAAUAUUUAUUAUAUUAGUUAAUUUUUGAUUAUUAUUAAG
RNAcentral lists this ribosomal RNA (613 nucleotides) under Apiencya sp. BMNH 671495. RNAcentral describes it as "partial 16S large subunit ribosomal RNA". It matches the Rfam family "Bacterial large subunit ribosomal RNA", at positions 1844 to 2745 of the family's 2925-position model. The record is from RNAcentral. Lineage: Eukaryota; Metazoa; Arthropoda; Insecta; Coleoptera; Scarabaeidae.